AAAUGUGUUCGGAAUAUAUGUGAAGAUAGAAUUGAGUGACAGGAUGGGCAAAGAUGUAUCUAUAUUAAUAAAAAAACAAUUUGAUGUUGGUAUGCCUCUGAGGUUUAUGUAAUGUGUAUAGAAUAAUAAGGUGUGAAGUGCGACAAGAAAGUCUAGUCAGAGUAACAUAAUCAUCCUUCAUUUCUAUAUAUGAGCUGAAAGCAUCAGCAUUGCACACCGACCCUUUUUUUCUCUUGAUAAAAGCAAGAAAAACCUUAGCUUAGCUUACCCCACUCUACGUUGUCUUCACCUCCUCUACUCUCUCUCUCUCUCUUUUGCUUUGUGGAACUUAGCUUUCUAAUGGAAGAAUCAGGCCUGCCCUUUAAAUAGAGAGAGACACAUCACUUAUCUCAAUCUCCACCUCAUCCUCCAUGAAUUUUGUUUAUCAUCCUUCCACCAAGUCUUCAAUAUACCCACGUGACAUUAUUGGAAAGGAAAAAAGAAAAUGGGCCAAUAAACUUUGGCUUAAAUAAUAUGACAUCAAAAUCAUAUUACAAAUUACGUGGCUAACCUACUUGUAACUUGUUUUUCUUUUUCAAUAUAUAUUGAUUGUUACGUAUGAUUUUGAUGUGCAUAAAAUUAAGAUGCAUACAUGUAACCGCAAUAUAUAUUAUAGUGCUUAUAUGUUUGUUUGAAUUUGAUGGAAUGCAAAUAUGAAUACAUUGG
This 705-nucleotide long non-coding RNA is filed under the name Ricinus communis (castor bean). RNAcentral's name for it is "long non-coding RNA (RCOM_LNC000059)". Lineage: Eukaryota; Viridiplantae; Streptophyta; Magnoliopsida; Malpighiales; Euphorbiaceae. The record is from RNAcentral.